UACGGGGGGGGCAAGCGUUGUUCGGAAUUACUGGGCGUAAAGGGCUCGUAGGCGGCCAACUAAGUCAGACGUGAAAUCCCUCGGCUUAACCGGGGAACUGCAUCUGAUACUGGAUGGCUUGAGUUCGGGAGAGGGAUGCGGAAUUCCAGGUGUAGCGGUGAAAUGCGUAGAUAUCAGGAGGAACACCGAUGGCGAAGGCAGCUUCCUGGCCCAAUUCUGACGCUGAGGUGCGAAAGCGUGGGUAGCGAACGGG
Molecule: ribosomal RNA, 253 nt
Filed under: uncultured bacterium
Lineage: Bacteria
Description: partial 16S ribosomal RNA
Rfam family: Bacterial small subunit ribosomal RNA
Source: RNAcentral